Long non-coding RNA from Rosa chinensis, 930 nucleotides. RefSeq lists it as uncharacterized. Lineage: Eukaryota; Viridiplantae; Streptophyta; Magnoliopsida; Rosales; Rosaceae. The transcript has 3 exons. The record is from RefSeq and is a predicted model, not a curated record.
CAUCUUUCUCUCAAUCAAUUUCAGAUAAUAAUCCCCCCCUCUUAACUGACCUCAACGCCAUGGCUCGACGAUCAGUAGUGAUCCUCCGACCUCCACCACCUCCUAACAAAGCCCCGAUAGGUCACCUGCAUGCCUUGACCCGGCGAUAGAGCUCCACGUGUGGUAUGAUCUCUGGUGACGGAAUCGAAUCGCUUGUCACGAACGCCAUCACGCCUCUUGAAUUCUUGCUCCGACGACGCAAAGGCAAUCUUCACUGCUAUGAUUGUCAAAGGCAAGCUCGGGCGAGCAUAAAUGGCUAUAGAUCGGGCGAGCUCGGGGCUCCAAUACCCUGAGCGGUUCUACGUGGCGGCCUCCUACGCCAGUUUCGACGGAUCUCCUCACUCCUCCUCUAAAGCCGUUCGCGCCAAGUUCAACUCUGAGUCCGCUCUCAUCCUCUACGCUCUCUAUAAGCAGUUUACAUGGUUGGUCAAGGAUCGGCUCAAGUGCCAAGGGAAAAUGGAUUUUUCCUAAAAGGUCAAGGAUUGGCUCACUUGUGAGAUGGUAUAUAUCAGAAAUUUCUGGAGCUGAAACCAAGAAUGCCUCGUGGAAUUUUUUGUAUAAAUUGUAUGAUGCACAAGUUGUUCUUUAUCAUUCAGGAGUACAACAAGAUGUUGAAGCCAAGCCAUGUGUCCCAAUAGUUUAUUAAUAGAUAAAAUGUCGUUUUUCUUUACUGACUAUAGAGCUCAAUUUUGCAUCUGGGUUUCUGUUUACUUUUCUCUACUUAUCGUGCUUGCUUUUCAUGGCAAAUGUAUUCUCCAUAGAGCAAUGCUUGCUCGCACAGCUAGUCUUUCUUAUUUAAUUAUUUUAUGAUAGUUAUGCGACUGUCAAAAUACAUGACUUUGACCUUGGAUCAUGCUCAUUUGAUCAGUUUGUAAUAGAAAUAUCAGCUAA